This 164-nucleotide small nuclear RNA is filed under the name Sus scrofa (pig). RNAcentral describes it as "U1 spliceosomal RNA (ENSSSCG00005037390.1)". It matches the Rfam family "U1 spliceosomal RNA". Rfam says of the family: U1 is a small nuclear RNA (snRNA) component of the spliceosome (involved in pre-mRNA splicing). Lineage: Eukaryota; Metazoa; Chordata; Mammalia; Artiodactyla; Suidae. The record is from RNAcentral.
AUACUUACCUGGCAGGGGAGAUACCAUGAUCACGAAGGUGGUUUUCCCAGGGCGAGGCUUAUCCAUUGCACUCCGGAUGUGCUGACCCCUGCGAUUUCCCCAAAUGUGGGAAACUCGACUGCAUAAUUUGUGGUAGUGGGGAACUGCGUUCGCGCUCUCCCCUG